RNAcentral lists this ribosomal RNA (253 nucleotides) under uncultured bacterium. RNAcentral describes it as "partial 16S ribosomal RNA". It matches the Rfam family "Bacterial small subunit ribosomal RNA", at positions 524 to 776 of the family's 1533-position model. The record is from RNAcentral.
UACGUAGGGUGCAAGCGUUAUUCGGAAUUACUGGGCGUAAAGCGUGCGCAGGCGGCUUUGCAAGUCAGAUGUGAAAUCCCCGGGCUUAACCUGGGAACUGCAUUUGUGACUGCAUGGCUGGAGUGCGGCAGAGGGGGAUGGAAUUCCGCGUGUAGCAGUGAAAUGCGUAGAUAUGCGGAGGAACACCGAUGGCGAAGGCAGUCCCCUGGGCCUGCACUGACGCUGAUGCACGAAAGCGUGGGGAGCAAACAGG